RNAcentral lists this long non-coding RNA (6869 nucleotides) under Brassica napus (rape). RNAcentral's name for it is "long non-coding RNA (BNAP_LNC011077)". The record is from RNAcentral. Lineage: Eukaryota; Viridiplantae; Streptophyta; Magnoliopsida; Brassicales; Brassicaceae.
AUCAAGAUGCUGCAGCCAAGUACAAAACGAAAGAACAUGGCUUAAAUCAUGGGAUGAAGAAAGCAUGAUGGACUGAUGAUGAAGGAGAAAGUCCGUACAGAAAUAGCAAAAUCGCUUAAACUUGUAGUACUCAAAUGCAUUAACAUGGCAACAAAAUUCCAGUUGGUCGCGGAAUAUCUCCCCGCUUUUGUGCAUAAGUCAUAUCGAAACCAAUUUCAUAUAAGGGCAAGUUUUAAUCCUAACACUUACCAAAAACAAUGUUAUUAGUAAGCAUAAAGCAUUUUCUUGGAAUUCUUAGGAAUAUAACUCAAAUUUUCUCAAUUAUCCAAUAAAAAGAAAAAUCCCAUAAAAAUAGAACCACAAAGGUAUUGAAACUGGUAUCUAACGCUUUCUCUUCUUGUUGCCUUUGCCUUUACCAAGUUGUCCAGAUUUGAAAGCAUGUUCUUGUUCUUGAAGGAAAGCCAGAUUCUUGCCAUGUUUCUCUGCCCUCUCUUGCUCCUGCACAGCCUUUUCUUUUGCUUUCACAUCGCUCAUGAAGUAGAUGUCCUUGCGCAGCUCACGCACCACUCCUUUCCUUUCCUCAUUUAGCUUCUUAUUCAACUUUUUUAUGUCUGAACGGUACUUGUCUGGAUCGUAAUCCCUGCCUUUUGCAAAGCUGCACAACAAACAUAUACACACCGUUAUAACGAUCAUCCAAGUGUGGUCUCUGUAAGUACAAAUCAUGUGGAUUAUAAUUAGUUUUAUUAUUUGUUGAAAAACAUAAUCCACAUAUCAAAAUUUUGUAGGUUUGGAGACUUGGCUUAAGUAUAUAAAGAUUUGUGUCAGUUUAUUAAAAUCUAAUUGGGUAUGAACUAAAGUUUAUUUUAUUUUUUUGAGAAAGAAGGGCUUUUAGAACUAAAGUUUGUUAUUAGUGUCCCACUAGUUUGUUUAAACUCGAGUCUAGGCAUGGGCAUUCGGGGUCCCAAUCGGGUUUCGGUUUUUCAGGUUUAUCAAAAUUAGCCACAUUUGGAUUAUUUGAAAGUUCGGUUUAGGACCGGUUCAGGUUCUAUCGGAUUCGGGUCAGGGUUAGUAAAUCUUCAAAGAACCGGUACAACCCAAUGUACUUUCGGAUUCAGAUCCCAAUCGGUUCUUCGGUUUAAAAAUACCUGAUUUGUACCUAUUUUGUAACCAAAACAUAAGUAAAAUCGGUUCUUCGGGUUUAAAAUACAUGAUUUGUAUCUUUUUGUAACCAAAGCAUAAGUAAAAUAAAUUUGAAACUAAGAAAGAAACAUCAACCGUGAUCAUUCAAAAUCAAAUGAAAAGAAAACAUAUUUAUCGCUAAAAGAAAACCAAAUAAAUGAAAGCAUAAAACGAAAACCAAGUUCUCAUGAACUGAGAAACAUUUUUUAAUGAAAACAAAAUCAAAAUCUAUAUACUUUAAGAUUCAACAGCCACCUCCAACCAUCAACGACUUCGUAAAAUAGAUAAGUAUUUUAGAUGUUUUAUAUAUCUUAAUAUAUUUUGAAUACAUAUUAGGAAUUGAGAUCAUAGGUUUGGUACAAGAUCUUUUUGGGGUUUGAAUGUUUCGGGUUCUAUCAGAUAUCCAUUUAGGUUUGGGUUCAGAUAAUACUCAUAACUUGAAAUACCAUAAAACAAGAUCCAUUCGGCAUUUAUGUCGGGUUCGGAUCGGUUCGGAUUCAUUUAUAUCAGAUCAGAUUCGGUUUGGGUUUUCGAGUUCGGUUUAUUUACCCAGCCCCACUCGAAACUUUAACUCACAAAGAUAAUAGAAAAUACACAACAUAAAACAACAACAUAAAUGAAAAUAAGUAAUGAAAUAAUUUCUUGUAUAAAGACCGUAAGUUUACUGGAGACAUACUACAUAUCUGCAUGAGUUUUAUAACCUAUAUGUUUAGCUUUUUCAAUAAAGAGGCCAAACACAGUGUUGGCAACACUCAUAUAAAUUCGCAAGUUAAACAAGAAAAUUUGAACCAAAAUAUUUGGAUUUCGUAUUAACAAGCCUUAUGUUUUAUGUAACUUAUUUACCCAUUUCGGUUAAUCUUUCAUAGUUUGUGUGAUAGAUAUCAUUUGUAGUUUGAAACAACUGAAUUCUUUAUAACAUUUUUUCUUUGUUUUUGGUAAAAUGUUAAAUUAUUAUACCAAAUUUCCAAUUCUACACAGACAAAACACCUAGUAGCAGAAGAACGUUAUUAAACUAAACAGAAAGGAUCUAAGCAACAAAAUAACUAAAUGAAGCAAGGAAGAAACAGACUUUGGACAAUACUUUAACUUUAGCGCGAAGGACUAGAAAACGAGUCGACAACAGAGAGAGCUACCAGUCGCCACGAGCUACUGGAGAGAAAGAUGUUCUUAAACCUUGAAACACACAGCUCCUGUAGCUUCUAGAGAACUUAAACGUCACAAACUGCCCAAAGAAUUACAAUUCGAACUCGCUAGCUAACCCAAAAAACACCUAGCCGGCAGCACGACGAGGAUUUCACAACCGACGAUACCGUCUUUUGGAGAAGGUACUUUUCUUGUCAAAAGUAUCCCCUUAACAUUAUUUUUUUGGAUCAUUUCAUAUUUUGUUUUCUUAAUUCUAUGAUUCUCCUUUUUGGGAUCCCCUAUUGAUUCUUACCUCUAUUGUAGAGUUGAAGUUAAACUGCUAUCUUAAUUGUAAGGUGUAAAGUUAAACCGCUAGAGAGCAAACUAAGCAAGAAAAUAACACAUGCAUGUUUAUAUGAGUUUCACGUGAACAUUUAAUAUUACCAAUAUUGCCGAUAUGCUGCAUUUAUUAAUCAGAAUUGAAAUUUAUAGUCAUAUUUCAAAUUUAAAUAUUAUCUUUUGGGAUUUGAGCACAUGAAAAGUUCAAUAAUUGCGUCAUAUUCUGUUGAUGGCUCCAACAGCUAUAGCAAUGAAAUCCUCCAUGACUAAUGUCAUCUCCAUAAGCCUCUUUGAGGUCUUGUCUGUGUUCUUUCCGACUUGAUCCUUCACGAUUUUUGUUUGGUCAAAACUAACCAUGAUAUCAUAGCUUGCAGUCUGCGCAUCGUUAUCCUCAAUUUCUAAUCGAGCACUUCUAAAAUUCUCCACUAUUGAGAUAUAUGAUUCAUAGCACAUCGUUUUAUUAAAUGUAGGCUCUUUUUCCAAUCCGGCAACGAAACCUGCCCUUUUUUUAGCUUGGGUCCUUACAAGGUCGACUGUGACUUUCACAAGAUUGACCUAUAUAUUAAAAAAAGCCAAAAUUUUACUGAGAAUUGUAGUUUUUCAGGAAUAAUAAAUAUGCUACAAAUUUUUUGCAUAAUAGUGAUUACGUAUUUACAAAAUAAAGCUCUGAACGUUUUCCCAAACACUUUUUCACCAAUACGUGUUUUUUUUUUGUAACACUCCAAUGCGCUUGUUAAAAAAUAGUUAAUUUAAUAAAUAAGCAAAUAUGUCAGAUUUCAUACCAGUAAAAUCAAUGAAUUUAUCAAAUACUAAUUUUUUUAACUCUUAUAGAUUAACAUGAAUCUUAAACCCUAACAUUUUUUUAUCUCCUCCCAACACAAAGAAAACUGGAAUCUAAAACACAAGACUGCAAAAUAGUUAAUUGCCUAUUUUAUGAUUUAUUUGUAGGAUUUUCUCUUAAUUGUUUUUUUAUUUCCGUUUAAAACAAUUAGACCAUAAAUUAGACAAAGAAAUUUAAAUCUUUUGAAUGUAAAUUUUUGGUGUAAUAUCGAAUAAAAAAAAAUAACAGAAUUGUUGGACCAAGAUAGAAAAUAAAUGAGGGGUUAGAUAGUAAUAUACCAUGUUAGUUGCAGAGACGGCGGGAGGAUACGUUGUGAGCGUUUGCAGGCAUAACGUUUUGUUAUGGUUAUGGACAAAAGAAUCAUUGCAUAUGGAAUCAAUGUCUUUUGUUGAGGCCAUGGUCAAAGUAGAUCCUAAGAAAAAUAGUAACAAGACUACCAGUGAAACAAGAAAAAAAUAAUUAGAGGAAGAAGUCAUGAUUUACUAGAGAAUUUAUUUCCCUCAACCUCUAUUGUUAGUAUUCAUAUUGCUGUUCUACUUGAGUAUCUUUAUAUAUACAUUAAAAUUAUGGAUAGAAGGUAAAAAAUCUAUAUUAAAGGAAUUUUGGUCAUUUCACUGGAUACCACCGUAUUUAUUGUUACUCUUUUUCUUGGUCAAUCUUGGUGAAAACUGUAAUUAGUAUCUUAUGAUUUCUAAAUAUUUAAUUCUAUUUUAAGAUAAUCAACUUUCAACAUUCAAAGGAGAAUCAUUCCACAAAAGUCAUUAUGUUAAACAUCAUAACUGACUUGAGGAAGGCUCUGUUAUAAUUUUCCUCAAAAAUAUAAUCUCACAGAUAUUAAGUUUUUUUUCUUUUUCUUAAAUAGUUAAACUUUUAGAUUACAAUGUUUAAUGUUUUCAGAUUCCAUGGGGUAGGUAACUAAAUUUAUUAGUUAUAAAUAUAAUACAUUUAUUACACCUUUGUGAAAGCUUUAAUAAAUUUUAUGGAGAUAUUAUACAUAUUUAUCAAGAUCUUUCUAAAUUUUAAAAAGAUACGAUACUUAUUCUGGAAGAUUUUUCUAAACUCAUAUUUAGAAAUAUAUUAUACACUGUAAGAAAGUCUUCCUAAAAUAAAAUUCGAAAAUAUCAUACUUACUCAGGAAUGCUUUCUAUUCAAGAAAAUUUAUUUAUUAAAAAUGAUUGAAAAAAAAAACUAAAAAGGAAAAUUUCAAAAGAAAAAUAUUUGGGAAAAAAAUUCAGAAAGAAGUUUUAAAUAUUGUUUAGAAAAUAAAAAAAAUGAUUUUUCAAAAAGUUAUAUAAAAAUUUGUAUAUUUUAAUAUAUCUUUAAAGUAUGGAUAUAAUUGUCAAUUACUUUUUAAUGAUUGUUGUAGUCAUUUUGAACCUUGUUUUUGCUAUUUUAUGAUAAAAAAAACAUUUUAAGAUUAUCUUAGAGUUUUUCUCGUUAAUUUUAUAACACAUAUCAUCUUAGCACUAGGGAAAAUUCAGAACUCAUCCAAUUUACUUAAAUCCAAUUAAGAAAUUAUUUAAUGUGAGUAAUUUUGAACUAACUUAUAAGAUAACCUGAAAAAUAAAUUUUUAUAUACUGAUUAAACUCAUUUCAAACCAAAACUAAAAAUAGAGUGCUAAACUGAGUUAACUACAAAUUAUUUUAAGCUUAUAUUAUUAACUAAAAAUCAAUUAUUAAAAUCAUGAAAUUAUUAUUUAUAGUAUUUUUAUUAAAAUAAAUAUAAUAUAAUUAAACUUGAAUAUAAUUUAUGUUUGGCGGGAAAUUUCAGAUUUUUCGGUUUGGUGGAAAUUUUUAAUUUUUUGGAGAGAAAAUUCAAUUUUGUGGUUUUGUAGGAAAAAUCUGAUUUAUGGCUUUGGUAGAAACUCCUGAUUGUAUAGUUCUCGUGGAAAAAUUCGAUUUUGUCGGUAAAAACCUUGAUUUUGUAGUUUUGGUAGGAAACCCGGAUUUUAUGGUUUUAAUUGUUUUGCCUUCUUUUUUUAUUCUUGCUUUUAUUACAAAUAAAUAUAAUGCUAGGUGAUCACAAUGUUAACAUUGGCAGAAAAUUUGAAAUUGUGAUUUUGGCAAAAAAUUUGAAGGAGCAGACGAAACCCGGAUUUUAUGGUUUUAGUAGAAAACAAAACUUGUUUCUGUGAUUUUGGCAGAAAAUUUGAAAUUGUGAUUUUGGCAAAAAUGUGAUUUUAUGGUUUUGAAGUAUUGUUUAGUAAUUAUAGUAAUUAAUCAAAUUUAUUUUUAUAUUUGUAUUUAAGGUAUUUAAAUCUUUUGGAUUUUACGGUCCAAAAUCUUGCAUCCCACAAAAUAUCUAGACUUUUUGUACAUACAACCACAUACAUUAUUUAGAUGUUGAUGCAAUAAUGUUCAAACAAAACAUUUAAACAUCGAGAUGCUGCAACGAAAUACAAAACGAAAGAACAUGGCUUAAAUCAUGGGAUGAAGGAAGCAUGAUAGACUGGUGAUGAAGGAGAAAGUCUGUACAGAAUUAACAAAAUCGCUUAAACUUGUUUAUGUGAUUUUAGCGGAAAAUUUGACAUUUUGAUUUUGGCAAAAUGUGAUUUUAUAGUUUUGAAGUAUUGUUUAAUAAUUAAGUAAUUAAUUAAUCAAAUUUAUUUUUAUAUUUGUAUUUAAGGCAUUUAAAUUUUUUGGAUUUUACGAUCCAAAUCUUGCAUCCGACAAAAUAUCUAGACUUUUUGGACAUACAACCACAUACAUUAUUUAGAUGUUCAUGCAAUAAUGUUCAAACAAAACAUCUAAACAUCAAGAUGCUGCAACCAAAUACAAAACGAAAGAACAUGGCUUAAAUCAUGAGAUGAAGAAAGCAUGAUGGAUUGAUGAUGAAGGAGAAAGUCCGUACAGAAACAACAAAAUCGCUUAAACUUGUAGUACUCAAAUGCAUUAACAUGGCAACCAAAUUCCAGUUGGUCGCGGAAUAUCUCCCCGCUUUUGUGCAUAAGUCAUAUCGAAUCAAUUUCAUAGAAGGGCAAGUUUUAAUCCUAACACUUACCAAAAACAAUGUUAUUAGUAAGCAUAAAGCAUUUUCUUGGAACUCUUAGGAAUAUAACUCAAAUUUUCUCAAUUAUCCAAUAAAAAGAAAAAUCCCAUAAAAAUAGAACCACAAAGGUAUUGAAACUGGUAUCUAACGCUUUCUCUUCUUGUUGCCUUUGCCUUUACCAAGUUGUCCAGAUUUGAAAGCAUGUUCUUGUUCUUGAAGGAAAGCCAGAUUCUUGCCAUGUUUCUCUGCCCUCUCUUGCUCCUGCACAGCCUUUUCUUUUGCUUUCACAUCGCUCAUGAAGUAGCUGUCCUUGCGCAGCUCACGCACCACUCCUUUCCUUUCCUCAUUUAGCUUCUUCUUCAACUUUUUCAUGUCUGAACGGUACUUGUCUGGAUCGUA